Molecule: small nuclear RNA, 103 nt
Organism: Sarcophilus harrisii (Tasmanian devil)
Lineage: Eukaryota; Metazoa; Chordata; Mammalia; Dasyuromorphia; Dasyuridae
Source: Ensembl
CUGCUCAUUUUGGCAGCACAUAUACUAAAACUGAAAUUAUAUAGAAUUUAGCACUACCCUGUGCAAGGAUGACACUCAAAUUCUUAAAGUAUUUCAUAUUUUU